This 399-nucleotide ribosomal RNA is filed under the name uncultured bacterium. Its description in RNAcentral is "partial 16S ribosomal RNA". It matches the Rfam family "Bacterial small subunit ribosomal RNA", at positions 359 to 775 of the family's 1533-position model. The record is from RNAcentral.
GAAUCUAGCGCACUGGGCGAAAGCCUGACGCAGCCAUGCCGCGUGAAUGAUGAAGGUCUUAGGAUUGUAAAAUUCUUUCACCGGGGACGAUAAUGACAGUACCCGGAGCAGAAGCCACGUCUAACUUCCUGCCAGCAGCCGCGGUAAUACGAAGGGAGCUAGCGUUGCUCGGAAUUGCUGGGCGUAAAGGGCGCGUAGGCGGAUCGUUAAGUAAGAGGUGAAAUCCCGGAUCUCAACUUCGGAAUUGCCUUUGAUACUGGCGAUCUUGAGUGUGAGAGAGGUAUGGGGAACUCCGAGUGUAGGGGUGAAAUUCGUAGAUAUUCGGAAGAACACCAGUGGCGAAGGCGACAUACUGGCUCAUUACUGACGCUGAGGCGCGAAAGCGUGGGGAGCAAACAG